GAAACCGGAGCUAAUACCGGAUAAUAUAUUGAACCGCAUGGUUCAAUAGUGAAAGACGGUUUUGCUGUCACUUAUAGAUGGAUCCGCGCCGCAUUAGCUGGUUGGUAAGGUAACGGCUUACCAAGGCAACGAUGCGUAGCCGACCUGAGGGGGUGAUCGGCCACACUGGAACUGAGACACGGUCCAG
Molecule: ribosomal RNA, 187 nt
Filed under: uncultured Staphylococcus sp.
Lineage: Bacteria; Bacillati; Bacillota; Bacilli; Caryophanales; Staphylococcaceae
Description: partial 16S ribosomal RNA
Rfam family: Bacterial small subunit ribosomal RNA
Source: RNAcentral